This is a long non-coding RNA of Aquila chrysaetos chrysaetos, 10852 nucleotides long. RefSeq lists it as uncharacterized. The transcript is spliced from 4 exons. The record is from RefSeq and is a predicted model, not a curated record. Lineage: Eukaryota; Metazoa; Chordata; Aves; Accipitriformes; Accipitridae.
CCCUCCCUCCCCCCCCCCAGCCCCGCGCUCUCUCGCUCUCUCUGUCGCCCCGUCGGGCCCCAUGUCGGUGCGGCCGGCUGGGCGGUGAGGGGCGGCACUGACACACAGCCCCCGGCGCGGAGCGGCUGGUGGUGGGUAGGAAGGGAUGGCCGAGCGCUGCCCUGACUGGAAACCCCGCUGGGGAGGGCCGGGCCGCCCGCCCUGCGGCUCUGCGGCCUGCCCCCCGGCCCGCCGCCGCCGUCGCCUGUGGUGGCAGCCGAGGGAGGGAGGGAGAGGCGGCCCACGGGACGCGUGGCCCUUCGUCCACACGGUCCCGCUUUGGGCUUGGGAGAUUUUGGCUGGGGGAUGGAGCACGGGCAAGAUGUGCUAUUUGAGGGGCUGGGAAAACGUGUGAAAGCCAGAGUGCAGAGCCCAGGGUUGCCUUGCGGUACCAGGCCCGUGAUGUGUAACCCUGUCGCCAGCCCUGUUAGAUGUUCCCAAAGAUGCCUCGUGCUCCACAGCAGCGUGUCCAUCGGGAUAACCGACAUCCCUUUCUCUCCAAGUUCUCGUCGGGGUAACGCGGUCCCUCUCUCCCCAAGUUCUUGCAAGCCCCGAGUAGGAGCCCUGGGUUAGUUAUAGCUCAAAGACAGGUCAAAAGGACAUGACGGUUGGUUUUAAGUUAAUUUAGAACAUCAAGAGCUGGAAACGUAAAUGCCAGGGCAGUCUAAAAGGGGUCAGAGAUCCACUGGUGAAGGGUGUUUUAGAAAUGCAACAUGCUACUCUUUUUACGUGGAUUAUUACGCCUUUGGAUGUGAACAGCCUGUCAUUAGCCCUGCUGUAAAAGCAGGAUGCCCAUUGCCUGCAAAUAAUUAUGGUAUAUCUCAGCCUUUCGCUUAUUUCAGUCCUAAGUAACAUAAGGCGCUUUUUUCCCUAGUGUCACCAAUAUUUUCCAGUUACAAAGGGUUUAACUGAUAAAGGUUAAAAAUAAAUGAGCAUUUACGUUACUAGGAAACACUUAGUAAGCAAAUAGUUAACGUGGUACGUUCAGAUAAAACUUUUGCCCAGAGGAAGUCCACAGCAGAGUGUAAAACUGACAGGAAGUUGCAGUGAGGCUUCUGGCAAGGAGAGUGGGUGUGGAGGAAGCACAGGCUUUCUGUUUGUAGCACAGAGAUAGAAAAGGGAUAAAAAAUAGAGAGAGAUUACAUUUCCCCAAGUUGCAUGAUGGAGAGUUCCUUGCUAUAAAUGUUUGGAGACCGUACAGCUUCAAAUGAAUGUGUGGGAGACGCUAGAGCUCAGAGCAAAUGGAGUCAAAGAGUGACCGGUGAAAUGAACUGCCCUUGGUAAGAGAAGCUUCAUCUAGAUUCAAGGCAUCCAGAAAGUGACGCAUUUAAAAAAUAUUUUUCUUUUAGAGUGUUGCUCCCAAAUCCCAAACGUCAUAAAAUCUCUUCCAAAGUCCAGACAAAUCUCUUGGUGUUUUACAGCUUAAACCCUUGUGCAGUACUUUGAUAAUGAAUCCCUGUAAAUGACGGAUAAUGCAAGAGAGCUCAGGUUGUGAGAAAUCAAGUACAUAGAAACCAGUCCUUUCUCAGUGGGGCUUCCUAUGCGGGGCAAAAAUCAUUAAUGAGAGAUGGCAAAAUAGAUAAAAUACAGCCUCUCAAGUAAAAAUCAUAAGAGCAUCUCAUGCAGUUAUUAGCUGUAUAGCGUGUUUACUCACCAGAUAAAAAAACAUUUCUGUUUCUUUAGUCUUUUCUGUCAGUAGGUAUUAUUAUCAGCACCCAGAAAUAUUCAGAGGCAAGGAACAAAAAGAAAGAUAUAUCCUCUGCCCUCACAACUUUCUUCAGUGAUCUAGCUUAAUCACAAAUAACAAGCAGUGUUCCGGGAACAGAUGUGUGCCAUUACCGUAAUAAUAUUUUACAGUGUGCCUUUAAUUGCCCUGUGUUUUAUAGGCAGUGGGGCAAAUACUGCUCUUUGCUAUACAACAAGAAAACCGAAAGGGGCCUUUGGGAGCCUGAGUGAAUCUCCCGUGAGCAGAUCUUGGUGUUUUGAGUUUCAUACAGGGUAAUCUGAAACUCUUAAGUAUUUUAGAAGAAGUGUAUAUACACGUAUAUACACAUAUGGUUUACUUAAUAUAGACGUGCUUGGAGAUUGAUCACUGUAACUAGAAGAAAUAGGCAAUUAGGAUCCAUUCUGAGCAAGAGACGGAGUGUUCCCUUUUCCCAACUCUCUCAGCCACAUACUUUGAAUGUAAAUCGGGCCCUUAAGUUUGGAUUUUCCUAUGAAUCAUCUAGCUAAUCCUCAGCGCAAUUCGUAAACCAGCUUUACUCAUAUCAGUGUGACUGGUGAAUAGAAAUUGGUGCGCUUGUUAAGCAUACUCACCUGGUACUCCACGGGGCUUGUUCUGCUCAGCUUGCUAAGCUUUUCACAUGUGCCUGAGCUGCUCGCUGAUGGUUACUCAAGCAACUGUGCCAGUGCGGAGGUGCUCCUAUGAUAGAGCAACUCCCCAGAGAACCGGGAAUAUGGAAGAAAUGGGGGAGAUAGGGCCAAAGUGCUGUUGUGUUGAAUAGAAACAACACAGACGUAUCAGCUUUCCUUAGAGGGUCUGCCUGCGCCCAGCAUCAACCUGGAGUUUUUAAAAGAAGGAGGUCAAAUAGCUAGCCGCCUGCUCACCGAACGAAAAAACAGCAGAGACCUGCUUGUGCCCAUAAACCUCACUGACAAAUAGACCUUUCCGAAGCACCGUACCAAUUGUCCUUUGGGCUGUAACUUCUGUCUCCCAAUGUACCAGUUGCCUGCCUGUACUUCAAAACCCUCUUAUUUCAAUGACCAGUGCUUAGCUGGAGCUAAUUCAGCCUGCUCAUCACUGACAGGGUGAGCUGUCUGAUAAUGUCAUGUCUGUUGUGAGGAACAGCUACAAGGGAACGUGGAAGAUCCCCUCUGAUGGAAGAAGAGGAAGAAAACAGUGACACAUCUUGUUAAAAAGCUCUGUGGAAUUAGUGGGGGUAAAGGGGGAGUUGGUAGGUUAUUUGGGGAAAACAAAGGAAUAUUUUUUUAAAUGAUGCUUUCAUAAAAGCUUGACAGGGUGGCCUUUGGUCACCUCCAUAUAAUUUUUCUAACUUUGCCUGCAUUGUUUUCACUGGGGCUGCACGGGUGUUGGAGCGAAGAAUGUGGCUCUAUGUGUAUUGCAGUUUCAUUACUGCUGAAAUACAGCCAUCUCUGGGACAGAAUGCAGAGCUGGCUUGUGCCAGCAAACUCUGAAGUUUAAUGGGCAUGUGGUGCCAGGGAAUGUUGUGCUGGCUGCAUGCCAACUAGCUGUGAACUUUUCUAGAAAUUUGUCCUGAAGGGAAAAGAAAUGUCAUUCGGUUAAUCUAGGAGGUUGCUUUGCUUUCAGAGAGGAAGCAAAGUUCUUGUCUUUUCUGGUGAGUGGACUGAAAGACAUUGAUUCUUAGCUCGGAGACUCGGUUGUUCCAGCAAGAGGGUGUUUACUAGAUCAGAAUGUGCUUUGGAUCAUGAGAGCAAUAAGGAGACAUCAUCUCCAACGCUAAAGAAAAAUGUCUCUUAUUUCUGAGACAUAGAUGUGUGAGGAGAACACUUUUAGCAGCACAUGAUGCACAAAGAAGAUUACUACCUUCUGAAUCACCAGCUCCUGUGAUACCUGGAUAGUUCUUCAAAGUCUUCCAUGAAAGGACUGGGUACAAUGGCAGUUAAGUGAUGAUGAUGACUGAUACAUUCACAGUUUAGAUAACACGGCAGUAUAAAGUUCUAAACUGAUGCUUAGUUUCCCCCAUUUAUAAUUCUGUGCUCUUCCUGAGAAUGUCCUUCUUCACUCUGUUACCAGAUACUUUAGAAUAAUGCGUUGAGCAGAAUAGAAUAGCCAGAGCAAAGAUAGUACUGGGACCUUAGUGGUAGUCCCAGUCAAGUAUAUGGGAAGUGAGUACUUUUGACUCUGCUUUACCAGAACAUGAAAGUACAGAAUUUUGACUUGGGAAAAGAGUGUUUAUAAUUAUAACUGAAUGUCAGUACCAACAUUUUAACUAUUGUACCUUUCUUUUGUUCUUUGGUUUUUGAUUUUGCAUUGUUACUCUUUUUUAGAAUACUCAUUUAUAUCCAGAUUCAGACUCUGCUGGAGACAGAGGAAAAGCUACUGUUGAUUUUAAUAAGCUUUAUAGCAGGACUUAAAUUCAGCCCUUGAGGAAUGUGCAACGUUUAGCAAUACUUGCAUUUAAAAUAUAUAUUCACUUCUGGUUUAUGUCAAUAUUAAGACAGGAGCAAGUAUAUUUAACGAUGACAGGUCUAAAAAUACUCUGUGUUUUUUGUCCUGCUUCCCCCAGCAGCAGAAUUAUAUCCCAAUUAACAUAGCAAUUUACACUGAAAUAUAGCUAUAGAUAUGAUUUUUUUUGCUUCCUUUCGUUUCUGUCCACUUCAGAAUCAAGCCUUAACACAAUGGGCCAAAAGCAUUCACAGGGAAAUCAUUAGUUACAUUAACAGUUCCUUAGUUUUGGUACUCAGUUUGGUUAGAAGAACAAAAUGUACAGCACAGAAAGGAGAAUUUAUUUCCUAAAUUUGUGAGAUCGUUUUCUCCUUAGCUUUCUUUGUAGACACGGCCUUGUUCUGCCAUAUCUUUCCUCUGGCUAUGGAAGCUGUUGCUGAAACUACAAUCAGGAGAGAGGUCUUAAUGAGGAUUGUUAAAGUCUACACCAAGGAAUACACAUGUUCCUUGCCUUUUAAAGCUAGCCAAAAAGCAGGAUUUUUUUUUCUCCUUUUCAUUAAUCUUUUUUGCAAAACAAAUGCAUUGUGGGUUUUUUAGCUGAUAAAAAUUUCUUUGUUUUACUUCUUUCUUAAUGAGUCAGUAAAUGGCAAACCCCUCAAACAACCAUUUCAUUACAGUGUUUAGCACUAAUUCAACUGUAUAUUUUAGUUGGGAGGCGGUAUUUUAGUGAAACAGUAUCCCCCAAAUAACCAAGGUAAAAAGAGGAAAAUGUUGACAAUUAUGCUGAUUUUGGAUGAGUGCAUGUAUUCAAACCAUCUCCAAGUAGGUUGCUACAUCUGCCACAGGCCAUGGCUCACAGUCUGAUCUGGAAAAGUUUUGAUGCUUUUUCAUGUCAGAUGAGUGCUAUGAUCAUCGGUGGCAUCGGAGCUGUGCAGACAUGCUGAUGUCCCGCUCUGCGUCCUCUCGCUCCCUCUCGCCAUACUCUUUGCAGCUUGCUUGGUUCAUUUUAGCCUGUCUUUCGGGGUGGUUUAUCAGCUAGUAGGCCUACAACAUAUUUGCCCCUUUCUGCUGUCACUUUCAGAAGGACUCAGGGGUCAAAUCCCUUCUUGUUCUUUAACUGGCCUGAGGUUCUGAAUAGAUUAUUUGUGUAAUAGAUUUAUUUUAUGAAUCCUUUCAUUUAACUACUAUGCAGUUCUGCUGAACUUCAAAUUGAAGAUUUCAUAAUAUCCUAUUCCCGUGAGAUGUCUGUGUUGUUAUAUUCAAUUUUUAUCAAUAAAAAUACGCAUUUGAAAUGAAAAUGCUGUCCUCUCCAAACCUUUCUUACAAAUUCAGAAUUGCUUCAAGGUCCCAAGCCUUUUAACUACCUCUGCACUACACAGAAUCUUCUAUUACAACCUCGAGCAGCAAAAAAUUUAUUCUAAUUUGAGCUCUAGACAGUAUUGUAACAUUCAGAGGAGGCUGAGUGAAGAGGAUCCCUGUGAAUCACUACCAAAGAUAGGGACGGAAUGGAAGCUGUUGCCCUGGUGUUGCGUUUCCUUGCGUGAAGGUGAUACUCCUGUUGCCCUGGUGCUGUGUUUCACGUGCUAAGUUAUAUCAACAGUCCCUGUAGGCCUUUCAACCCCACAGUCCGCAAGCAGCUCCACCCUGCAGAUGCAGUUUUAAGGAAAGCCACAAUCCUUUUAUAAGCUAGUUAUUAUUGAAAGAAACGAGCUCUUCAGUUUCAAACUCUUUCUUGGCCUCUGCAGAAUGAGAAGGAAGACGUUGUUCCAGGAAGGGACCCACAUGUUGGCGUUCAUGGCCCAAGGUCUGUCUCUCGGAGUCAGCUGGGCCUUCCCUGCGAAGACGUGGAUGGAGAGUAGAAAGGCUUUGUUGUGUUCCACUAGAGAUAUGGGGAGGUUGGGGAGGCAGAUGGUAUCAGCAAGACAAAAAGAAAUGAGGCAAAUUUGCAGAUAAAAAGUCAGUAAACGUGCUAACAGCACUAGGCAGCAAUGCACCAUCUAACAUCCCUCAAAUGGCAAUUCUGCUUGUUGGGAGAUGAAGAAGAAUGGACCGCAGAAAGUGUCUAGACUCACAUGCUCUCCAUGAACAUCUUCCACUGCCCACACUGAAGACAGAGUACUGGAUGAGAUGGAUCGUUAGUUUGACUUACUGGGACAUUUCUCCUGCUCUUAAUUAGGACCUGAUAUUUGAAAUUAUUAUUGUUUUUCAGUGAAAUUUUCAUAGCACUUGGAUUGUAAUAGCGAUCAUGAAUCAAAUUAAAUAAGGAGAAGUCAUGUUUGUCCUACUUUUUAUUGCCAUAGGGUGCAUUUCUAUCUUGUAGGUGUUCUUCCUUACUUGCAGCACAUCAUAUAACUAUUGGUGUCUCAGUCUGUAUUUCUGAGGGGGUGCAUCUAAAAGCCACUGCCUGAAGGGAGAGAGGAAGGGAGACUGAGACAGCUGGAAACAGACAAUGUACCAGAUGUGGGCUCAUUCUUUUAAAAUCCAAAAUUUCUCUUCCAAUUUUUAAAAAAUCUAGGUUUUAUUCCAGGUAGAAGGGUGAUCAAGUCUGACACAGUGAGUUUUUUCAGGCUCAUAUUCUGUUAUCAAUCUGAUUUACCUCACUUAAUCCCUUUGGAAAUUGUAUCUGACCUAAUUUUUUCAGCAGUGACUCUUACGGCAAGAACAAAUAAUAGGGGUGACCCUGUGCAUUCCUGCCAUAUCUCUUUCUCUGUAAUGUAGAUUAUUCUAGUUUCAGUCCACAUUCGUCUGUGAAGAGACAAAGUCAAAGACCAGUUCAAAACAGCCAAUACACUCCUGCAAAUUCACAUUUGGCAGUACCGUAAGUGGGUAAAUAUUGCCAACAUGUAUUGAUUGCUUUUUCUGCUUCAGCCAACAGACCCGAAGUUAACUGCCAAAUAUUAGUUUUUUUGUAAAUGACACCUCACAUUGCCUGUUGUUGCAUGAGCUGUAUCAAUUCACUGCGAACCUCACCUGCUCUGAGGGUGUUACUGGCUCUACAGGGGAUUCUGCUCUUUUCAACAACAGAUUUUGUGAUUCCCCCUUUAAUCCAAAUUUAGAAGAGAAACAGCUUGCUAAUAGUGAGACUUCCAGUUAUGGCCAUUUGCCACCUUUUAGGGAGCUGUCUAUCUGCUCACUUGCUGUGGCUCUGCAAGGUGGAAACCUUAUAAAUUGCUUUUAUCUCUCUUGGGCCGUUAUUAUUUCUCUGUGUGUGCGUGUGUGUACUUGUGUGUGAGUGUUUGUGUAACCUGAUAAGAUGCCUUAUGGUCUACUCUGUUAAUACGCCUUCUGUGUCGCUCCUGCUGCAGCCAGCAGCCGAGCUGCCCUCACCACUUGUGGUGGGUGAUGGAGAAUGCUCAGAAUUCAACAAGUGUCCGCUGGCUCAGCUGAUUUUUUAUCCCCUACAAAGGCAGGCCUGCAGUGCGGAGGAAAGCGCGCUCUGCUCCGAGCAGCAAUAUUCUGGGUUGCUGAUGGUCUUGAGGGAGAUGCUGUUUCGGAUUCAAAAAACAGAUGGAAAAAAAAAAUGUUUCCCCAAAGAAGUUCUUUCCCUUUGCCAGAAAGAGACCUGUUUUAUGAAAGAACUAUGGAGCUGGAUGCUGUUGCGUCAUCUCGAUAUGGAAGCUGAGCAAAGGAAAUAUUUUAUUGAGUUAUAUUGUUCUUACAAGGAUUAUAAAAUAAUUACUCCUUCUACUAUGAUGAGGUCUAAUAGGUCCAAUAUCAAUGUCCUAGGCAUUACAGAAACAUGGCAGAGACAUAUCCUGCUUUAACAAAGAUAUAGGCUAUUUCAAGAAGAUGUGGAAAUCGGUUAUUGCUGCUUUUGACAUGACAUUGGUGGUUAUUGUGAAGACCCGUAUGAAUAAACAAAAUCAAUAAUGCAAGAUGAAUGCCUCCCUUUAACAGCAACUGCUGCAUGAAGUAGUUCGUUUAAGAACCCUUUGCCGCACUGGAAGGUGUACGGUGACUUAUAAAUGCUUUCACUACUGGUUCUUUUUCUGCCAUGGUCAUUAAUCACCUCAAACUUUCAUUCAGCUUACUGUUAUGAAGAAAAUCGUGCUUCUUGUAUUGCGUAGCUACAGUGUGAUGGGGAAACUUCAGACCCUUCCUCCUCUCACCGAGCUCUUCCUCAGUGCAUCUGUGUAGUGGCAGCAAAGGAAAUGAGCUUAAGAGCUCCUGGCCUAGCGAGCAUUACCUCCGUUAGCUGUUGGUACUGAGAACAGCCCAUGUGGGAGAGCAGCUGGAAAAGGCUUGAACACCAUCCCUUCACCUCACCUCACCGGUUUUCCGUUCCCCAUUCCCCAAAAUGGGCUUGAACUAGGAGUGAUUUAAUUCCAUCAUGAGAUUCCUAUUGAUUGGAUCAAUCCCUCAAAUAGAAGAAACAUCAUCCUCAGUUUCAAAGCAUUUGUGGUGCUAAAAGCCUCUAGUUUUUUUAAUCUUUUGUUUUUAAAUGAAGGGAAACUGAGGCAGAAAGGAACAGUAGCACGAGGGACAGAACUUCAAGCAGAGUGGUCUUCCUCCCGUUUUAUGCAGGGCACUGUGGAGGUCCUCAUGUGGGGUCCUUGUGAUAGGAUGGAUGGUGCAAGCUGCUGAUUAACUGUUUUGAACGAGCUUACAGCUUUGCAGUUGGAGGGCUAAUGGGUAAGGAAUUAUUACCUGCUCUUGAAUCUCAGUUAUGCAAUCUUUGUCUCUGGUCUUCUGUGAAGCAAGGAAAUUGAAGCAGAGAUGAAAUUUAUUAGCAGGACAAGCUGCAUUAUGAAUGUGGUAAAUGCUGAUGUCUUAUUGCAAAUGAGGUAUUUGCUAAAUAGAAAUGCUUUUAAAACAGUAUAAUCCUUCACUGUCCCUCCAGGACAAACAACUGGAGAGCAGUGAUUGCAAAAAUCAUUUAGGUCAUGCAAAUCAAGCUCCAGCAGCAGCGUUUCAUGCAGUGAGAAAGGAAGGCUAGACUGUCCUAUUAAGAAGCCUUGUAAUGAUAAAACAUGAUUAAAAUGACUUAGAAGAAAUUACCAAGUGGGGGUCAAGAAGGGCUAAGAAGGGCAAGCUGAUCAUGGAAAUGUGUUUUUAAAUGGACUAAUUCCAAGGGAGUAUGUUUAUCAUAGUCACACAUAAAUGGCUGAACAAUAAUCAUACCAAAAUUAUGUGAAAAUUAUCGCCCUUACAGGGUCUGAGGGUAGUUUCGUAGCUUUUUAUAUACAGAGCUGAUUUACAUCAAGUGACACAGGGGUCUAAAAUUCUCACGUAAUGUUUUCACAAAAGAUGACGAUCAGCUUUCUUCUGGACUUAAAUUUAAAUGUCACUUGGACAAAUAUCAAGUUACCCAAUAUUGUACAGUGUAAGCAGAAUGUAACAAAAGGUGCUGCAGCUAAUGCUGCUGCAGUAAGCUUUAUUGUACAGGGGAGCCAGCUCUGUCAUUUGCGGAUCCUGGAGAUGAAUUUCCUUUACAGUGGUGCUGGCCUGCCAGUCCGGCUGAAUGAAGACAGUGUAAUUGCUUUCUUUAAUGGAGCUAAACAAUCUGGGAUAUUUUUUAUGGCUGGCAAUACCUGCAGGAAACGUAUCGAAUGCACUGUUUGGUUACAACAGGCUGUGCAGAGGCCCUUCACAACUUGGAGAGCAUUGACUCUCCGGUGUUACUGCACAGCAGAGCUGAGAAGUACCUCUUUAUAAGCUAAUGGUUAUAAACCAGAUUGAACAGCAAGCUGUCUCUUGGCAAACACCGAGGAGCAUGUCUGUUCCUCCUCCCCCCUCCUUCCCGGCCACCCCUUGCUUCAAUUCUCAGAAUUAUUUCUGUUUCCAUCUUUCGGAGGUUUUGGUGCCAGGGGCCCAAGGGCGGUUCUGGUGCAUGCAACCCCCCAAAGUCAGUGACGCCAGCCCGAAACCACAUGCUCACACGACCGCUGAAGCUCGGCUUCGGACUUGCUGGCUCCAAAUUUGAGGAAUGCAGAUUUUUGAUUAGCUACCAAAGCAGGAAGCCAGCUGGUUCUGGGGCUACAUCAGCUGCUUCCCAGCCUUCCUCACCAACCGCACGUGGAUGGUGAGGGUGAAGAAAGGUUCAGGAGGACAAUGGCGAGCACGAAGAGGAAGGGACGACCAAGGCUGUCUUUGGCCUGGCCACGGAGUCGUAGCAGGGAAACUGAGAGGCCAAUUAGAUCUCUACCCAACAGUACGACGAAGAGCACAGGAGCUAAUUACGUACGAGGUGUUACUGUGACAACCCACGAGGCAGCGGCUCACUGAAAACAAAGUACGGAAACGUAAAGCUGAAACCAGAGGAGAAAAAAAAAAGAGAAGAUAAAAAACAUGAAAGAAAGGGGAAAAGAGGUAGAAGAGAAGCAAGAGCAAACGAAAAGGUCGAGAUACAAUUUGAAAGGAUGGGGAGAAAAAAAGAGUUGGUAGUGAGGGGCCAACAGGAGAGAUGCAUGAUCAGAAAUGAAGCGUUUGAUAGCCUGGUUAGCAAACAAGCUACCAGGAUGUGGUGCUUUCAUACCGAAGAGCCAGAGAUGUUUUGGGUGGGGUUUUUUAAUUUGACUUUAACCAUCUCAAAGUUAGGUGUUCAGCCUGAGGAGGUCUCCUAGGCUCUGUCAGGAGUCAGCAGAGAGAGACAAGUACGAGGGGAGGCUCAGUCGUUCUGCAGUCGGUGUGGACGCGGUGGGUCCGCAGAUGUUUCCUUUGCUGUCA